This 30712-nucleotide long non-coding RNA is filed under the name Populus trichocarpa (black cottonwood). Its description in RNAcentral is "long non-coding RNA (PTRI_LNC001701)". The record is from RNAcentral. Lineage: Eukaryota; Viridiplantae; Streptophyta; Magnoliopsida; Malpighiales; Salicaceae.
CUCUACUCUAAUUUAUGAUUCUUGUAACGUUACAGGGAAGAUUUGUGAGAAGGCCGAAUCCAAGAAGUGAUGAACAAGAGAAGAAGAAGAAGCUGUGAACAUCAUCAUCAUCAUCAUCAUCAUCAUCAUCAUCAUCAUCAUCAUCACUACUUUGAUGAUGGUAUCUUUUGUUUUGCAUUAUUUACUUGCUUUCUUUUCAUCUUCUACGCUAAAACCCGAGGAGAUGGAGGCUGGUUAGGGAGAGGAGGAUAUAGAAGUAUUCGCCGACGAGUUUUUUUCGCCUAGGCUCUAUAUUUUCUCUUUGUUUCCUAGUUUUUGGAAAGAUGCUGCUUGAGUUUUUUUUUUUUUUUGGUUCAAGAAAGUUAUCGAUAGCAUCAUUUAGCAGCUAAGAGGCUCUUGAUGGUUCAAUAUUAAUACAAAGUACAAAUUAACUCUCUUUUCUUUUUCAAUUCUUUUAGUUAUGAUUAAGAAAUUUAGAACUUGUUUGGGAACGCAAUGCAAAUCGUGUUCUCAAAACAUUCAAAUUUUUUUUUUUUUACUAAAAUUUAUUAUGGUUUGUAUGUUUUGGAUCAUUUUGAUGUGCUGAUGUCAAAAAUGAUUUUUAAAAAAUAAAAAAAAUCAUUUGCAUGCAUUUCGGCACAAAAAGUUAUUUGAAAAGCAACUACUACCACACUGCCAAACACCCUCUUAAUACAAACUAAGCGAGAGAGAGAGAGAGAGAGAGGGGAACCAAUUUUCUGAGUUUGUGGUAAGAUAAAUGUGGUUAAAGUUUUAUGUGUAGUAAAAUAUAUGUAUAAAAUGUUUGGUAGUUAUUUGUGUUUGGAAGUGUGGUUGUUUUUUAAAAUAUUUUUUAUUUGGAAAUAUAUUAAAAUAAUAUAUUUUUUUAUUUUUUUAAAAUUAUUUUUGAUAUCAGCGCAUCAAAAUGAUCUAAAAGCACUAAAAAUAUUAAUUUGAAGCAAAGAAAAAAAUAAAAAAUUUUAAAAUUUUUCCAAAAGCAUUUUUGAAACGCAAAAACAAACAUGAUUUUAGGAAUUUUUACGAAAUUCAGUUAAAAAAACAUAUAAAAAUUUCUACAUAAAAACUACAUUUCAAACUUAAUUUUUUAGUGGAUCCCGCAGCAUAAAAUACGAUUUGGUUUGUUACCAAACACUUUGCUGCGUUUGUUUCACCGCAAACACAAAAACUUGUGGAAAACAAAUGUAGCCAAGCUUGUUUGUUAUUGUGUUUUAAAAGUAUUUUUAAAAAAUUUAUUAUUUUUUUAUUUUUUAUAUGCUUCAAAACAAUUUUUAUAGUGUUUUUAAAUUAUUUUGAUGUAUUAAUAUCAAAAAUAUUUUUUAAAAAAUAAAAAAAAUAUUAUUUUAAUAUAUUUUUAAAUAAAAAAAUAUUUUAAAAUUACUGUAUUUCUACUCUAGUAAAAGUUCUUGUUAUAAAAAAAAUGAGAUCAAAAUAUAUAGAGCACAAGGCGUUGCCGUUCGAAAUAACCAAAAUCAUGUGCAAAAUCACAUGAAUAUCAUGAGAAAAAACGCAAUCUACUCCCAUUAAUGCUCUUAUCGGCACCUAAUUUCGUCUCAAUUGGCUCAUCAAUUUGAGUUCGUAAUCGAAGUGCAUGAGUAUGCACCAAGAUUAUUCAAUAUGCUGGCUUUACUCUUCCAUUAUGAAAACAAGGAAGCCAUGACUUUUGUCUGGCAUGAUUGAGGAUGUGAUUGUAAUUGUUUUUUAAAGUAUUUUUAUAUUAAAAUAUAUUAAAAUAAUAUUUUUUUAUUUUUUAAAAAUUAUUUUGAAGAUCAACGCAUCAAAACAUUUUAAAAUAUAAAAAAAUUUAAAUUUUUUAAAAAUAUAAAUAUAACUGCAUUUCCAAACACUUAUUUAAUUUAAGUUGGAGCCAAGGAGCGAUGACUUGUCAAAUUAUCUACCAUCAUUAGUUAUUUCAAGAUGAAUAUUUUCAUUAUAAACUCGUAGAGUGACAUCUUCGUCACCCGUUUUAAGAAUUUAUUGAUUUAAUGAUAAAUAAAUCCAUAGAUUUUUUCAUGGAAAAUAACAGUUGUCAAAAUUCCUUAUAAAUACUAACGUGAAUAGUUUAAUAAGGCAUUAUGUAUCCUCCGUGAGAAAUAAUUUAAUAAAAAAUAAAUACUUUUUAAAGGGAAUAUAUUUGUCCUUUCUUAAUUUCUUAGGUUUUCAAUAAAGAGCAGACCUAAAAAAAACACCUCACAAUUAUAUCAUGGGUAGUCUUAUUCAGUGUUUUAAAACUUGCACCUACCAGUGGGUCAACCCAAGAACUAGUAGACCCGGGUUCUAGACCGUUUCGGGUUCAUUAGAAUAGCUCCUAGGAAAUUCGCAUGGUCAAACCUAGGUGACCAGCGGUUGACCCAAGGAUGAACCUUUUUUUUAUUAACGACGUCGUUUUGAACAGGGGUAAAAAUCAUCGGUUCCCAAGACAGGCAACCACGAGGUUGUAUUGAAAUGUUCAGACUACAAACUACGCUCGGAAAGUCGGGGAUAAGUAAGAAGAGAAGAAUUUGAAAGAAAAAAAGAGAAAUCCCGUAGAAAUCGAAUCCCUAAUUCCACCAAUGCCUUCUUCAUUUCACCCAAUUUGCUUCUUCUUCUUGAACGAACCUUCAAUUCAAGCUUGAAAUAUAUAGUUUUUACGCUUGGACCUCGUUUGUGGUGGCUAAGGGUGGUGGCGGAGGCCGAAAUCAACAAGAACAUGCACUGAGAGGAGAGAGAAACUGUCGUGAGCAUUGGUGUCAAAAUCGGGAGUUAACUCGUAAAAUCACGGCACCACCCUCCUCCCUCUAUCUCGCGCAGCGCAGCCAGCAACCACCCCUCUCGCUUAGGUCAGUCCCAAAAUUUACUUUCAAAAUUGAAUUGCAAACAUUAGUUAGCACAUUGUCCUUUCUAUCACAUGAUUAUUUGCCAAAUGGGCCAAUUGCCUGAUUAGUCAUGCUUUGCUUUUCAAAAAGAAGUGCUGCACAUGGAAGUUUUUUUUUCUGCUUGUAGAAUAUAAUUGACUUGGGCAGGUUUAAAAUAUCCAUUUUUUUUGCGGAGCAAGUGAGAGAGAGGUAAAAGGAGGUGGUCCUUCUUGGAUGAAAGGUUUACCUUUUGAAUGCUACGUAUGUGUUUAAAACUGGGUUUUGGUUGGUUUAUUUAUUGAUCUUUUAUACCAAAUUAGGAGACCUUGUAAUUAUGAUGGUAAUGGUUUGUCUUUAUUUUUGUUUGAGUUGAUUUCUUUUCACUGUUUAGCUUAUUGAAAUUCAAUUUUGAAACGUGUUUGCAGGAGUAUGUUAUUGAAACUUGCUCUGGUUGUCUCUCUGUUUCUGUAUACGCAGACCUAGACAAACCAGCUCUUGACCUAUAGCUCUGAGAGGGUGUUUGAGAGUGGGGUGGAGUAUAAAUGUUUUUUACUUGAAAAUAUAUUAAAAUAGUGUUUUUAUUUUUUAAUUUUUAAAAUUCAUUUUUAUAUUAGUAUAUCAAAGCAAUUUUUUUAAAAACAUUUGACGAAAACCAGGUUUAACCUCAAUGUCAAAUACCGCAUAAAUCAUAAGUAAACUGCAAUUUUAUAUUUCAUUUCAUUUGUUUUCUUCUUCUUAGGCAUAUACAAGAAAGAAAAGAAUGAUUUUUUAUGCAAGAACGCUUCACACAGCCUGAUUGUUGUUCUUGUCACGGACAUAAACUGUUGUGUGUGAAUUUGUGAUCAGACUAUUGGAAAUAGAUUAAUGGAAUUUUCAUUGCUUGAAAAUCUUCUUUUUAUCGCAGUGAGCCUAAUUUUUAUUGCUUGUUUCUAGAACCACUCCAAUUCCAAGUCUUAUUUGCCUCUGUAACCAAUACAUGUUUAUGGAUAAGUACAAUGCAUGUCAUAACAUGUUGUGGAGCCCAUUUCUUAAUUUUGCCGAGUCCAGUGUGAAGCAUCAAUUUGACAGUGCUAUCUUUCCAAGUGUUUAUCCUUUAGAAGCUUUUACAGGAACCAGAAGAGUUUGCUUUGGACUUUUUUUCCCCCAUAAACUGUUGAUGUUCAUUGUGGUAGAUCUGUUGUGUGUGAACUUGUAAUCAGACUAUUGGAAUGCCCAUGCAUAAACAUAUUGUCCUUGCAUAACCAUUCAUGAUAAUCUGUUUUCGUUUGCAUUAUACAUAGAUGGUUAUUUCCAUUUUCUUUUAGGCACCUUUUCUUCCUUCAUAAUUGUUUAGGUUACAAGGGUUAUAUGUUGCUCUCAAUCCAUCAGGAUUAUCUUUAUUCUCUUUAAGAUUAGUAAAAUGGGGUUUGAUUUUAUUAACGGAUUUUUUUUAUAUGGUUCUAGGUUCCUCCUCUUUUGUAAAAUAUUCUUUUUACUCUUGGCCUUUUCUCCUUUUCCUCUACAGAAAUAAGUGAUACUUUUCUCGCUUGUUGUACUUUUUAGGGUUUUAGGGUUUUUGUUACUUCACAAUUACAUCACCAAAAAGGUGGAAUCUUUUAGCUUUUCUAGCAGUUCACCUAAUUCUACACGGUUUCCUCCAAAUUCCAGGAUUUUCUUUGAAUUCCCUAGUUACUAGUGCUGAUUUUUUUUAAUUUUUGUCUUUGGAAUUCUCAAUUUUUACUUUGUUUAAUUAUCUUAUAUUUGUUGGAUUGAAAUUCCCACUUGAAUUCAAGGUUAUAGACCAGAAAUUCUCACUAAAGUUUCAAUCUUUUUUGGUAUUUUUCUUGUUAUUCUCAAUUUUGCUUUAUUUAAUUAUCAUAUAUUUUUCUUGUUAUUAAAUUCAAGGUUAUAGACCAUUCUAAAUCCUCAUAAAGAAACACCUCACUGAGAUGCUAACAACAACCACUUGCACUAGCCAAACUGGAAGCUUCAAAGCUUGUAAUUUUGUUUAGGCAUUUUAACAAACAAGUUAAACACAUCACUGAAAAACCAACAGACUUGAGUUCUUAUUGAUUCUUUUGGUGAUUUCUCUAUCUGAGUAUUUCAUAGAUGGAUUCUCAUGUGGAAGAAGGGUGUUCUUCUGAGACUUUGGCAUUCAUGGAGCUUGCUAUAGAACAGGUAAUCCAUGCAAACCUUUGUGUUAACUGAGAUGAUUAUAUUAGGCAAAAGGGUAACCAGGGAAUGCUUCUUUAUUGCUUUCAAUUUAGAUUUUUGUUUACAUUUCUGGGUUUAAUUUAUUUCUUCUUUUUGGUGCAACAGGCGGAAGAUGCUCUGAACAGCCUUGAAGUGCCAGUCGGGUAAGCUUUAUCCUAUGAUUAUUUUUCUAGUAAUAAUGUUAAUCUUUCAAAAUACUUUCUUGAGUAAUCUCUAUCAUUGGAUUUGUGGAGCCAGAUCACUCGUUCAAGGAGUUAAAAUUUUAUUUUAUGAGCUUUUGCAUCUUUGCUAGUGAAUGCAGUGAUACCUUGUAUAAUAAGUUCUUAUGACAUAGUAUAAAAUGUGGCUACCAUACUUGCCUUUUGCUUUUGUAUAUUUAUUUUCAAUGACCUAGACAUGAACUCAACCUUAUAAGUGACUAAAAUGUAGGAUAAGAAAAAGUUCAGGUUAUUGUAUUCGUGUUUUUUAUAUUUUAUCUGAACGUUGACAGAGUUUUAAGCUUUAACAAUCGUAAUGCGAUUCACCAACUGAAGAUUUGCCACUGAGCAACUCUGAAACCUUAGCCUUUUAGGUUGGCCAUUUUAAUUAUUGAGCUAUCCCGAAUGCUAUUUUCGGUCAGUAACCUUAUACAGCAUUGUUUUCACUGCUUGAUGUUCCUUUCAAUGUGGUGUCCAAUUUAACUGUUGGGAUUCUAUGGCUAAAAGCGUUUUCUUCUAAUCAGUUGGGAAUGUUUCAUAGUCAGGUCUUGUUCUAUGAAAAACAUUAUGAUGUCCUUUGUGACAUUGGAUGGAGUUGAGUAAUGAUUAAGUUUGACAAAAUUAUGAAGUGAGGCCGUGUUGGGCUGGGCCCAUGCCUGACUUUGUAUACAGAGUUAGCACCCUGAGUUCAUCUCUACCCAUCUUCAAAUUUGAGCUCAAUUAUGUGAGCACAAAGCAUGCCAGGAAUCUGCUGGAUUGUUUGUCUUCUCUCGUAAAUCUCUUGGUGACAUAAUUGUUAGGCCAAGGUUCCCUCGAUUAAUGUCAAGUUUGGCACUUGGUAGUCUGUCACCUUAUUCCCCAGCUUGACCUUGUUUCAGAUCCCACAAUCCCAAUCUCAGCACAUUGAUCAUAUGGAUAACUGGAUCAUAAAAAUCGGAAACCCAAAACCUAAGAUGGUAAGUGGGAAAAACUCAAAAAUAAGGAAGUGCAAGCAUCAUGUAAGGAAAAUUUACAAAAUAUCUAGGCAGAAUUUGCUUGAAAAUAUUCAAUAAAUCCAUGACUAUUAACUAAAUUGAGUAAUAGGCUUAUAUUAUUUUUCUUGCAUUUAUAUCAAAUGACCUAUGUGAAUGCCUCCAAGCAAUUAAGCAUGCUGCAAUCCCAAAUGUUGAUCCAACUAAGCUGACCUUGUUGUACCAUCUACUGGUUAAAGUAUCACGCUUUAUAUUUCUACCAACUGGUCUGUAAUGAUGCAACCAAGUUACAAUUUUGUUUUUCCAUUUAGAGUCAGUGGGGUUAUUGAAUGAAACCUUAUGUAAAAUUGUUAUGUUCGACCAGUUGUGUUAUUGUUGAAGAUGGGAAGGUCAUUGCAUCUGGGAGAAAUCGAACAACGGAGACAAGAAAUGUAAGUUUACCAAUUGAUCAACUUUUUGCUUGGUUUAACUCAUACAUUGUCCUUUAGUUGUAUUAUUUAAUAGUUUAGUUGCUUGAACAUUUUUAACUGUCCUUUCUUUCUAUUCAAGUGCAAAUGUGCAACUCAGUCUAUUUGGUCUUAGGAAUGCUUCUGAUCCCAAAUUUAAUUGAAAUUUGAGCUAAACUUUGAGAUAUCCAUGUUGCAUAGUUAAGCCAAAGCUCAAGCCCCUGAAGCGCCAGGCGCACGCCUGAAUAAAACAAGGCACUAUGCUAUAAAUUCAAAAAAAAUAUAUGUAUAAUAUUAUACUAUAUAAAUCACAAAUAUAUAUAUAUAUAUAUAUAUAUAUAUAUAUAUAUAUAUAUAUGUUAAAAAUUAAGAUAAGAAAAUCGAAGUGAAACUCAAAAUGUUUUAACAUAGUCAUAAAAAGUUAUACUAUUCACCCUUAAAAACAAAAUUAAAAAAAUUAAAAGAGCAAGUACAUUAAAAUAGUUAAACUUAAAAUGCUAAAGUUUGGAAUAAACUAAGUUGAAUAAAUAAAAAAAAAGAGAAUAAACUGAAGUUUCAGACACAAUAAACAUGGCAAGAAAAAAAAUCAAUUGUGAAGUUUGAUGAGUGAUGAACUUGAGAUUUGAAAAAAAUGUUCUUUUAUUAAAAAAAAAAGAAGUAAAAAUUUCGGCAGCAUAACACGUGGAUAUUUAAAGAAAGAGAAGAAGACAGGUAAAGAAGAAAUAAGAUGGAGAGAGAGACUACAUAAGUGAAAAAAGAAAAAGAAGAGAUAAAAUAAAUGAAGAAACAAACAAAAAAUGUAACUGAUUCUUUGGAAAAGUGUGGCUGCCAAAUGUGCCUCAACUCUAUUUUGAUGAUCUUUUUUUGUCUUUUUAAAUCCUAUUCUUUACUUUUACAAUGGCAUCCUUAAAUUAUUUUUGGUGGUGAAUAGAAAGAAUAUGGACAAAUAGGUCAAAACACAUAUCAAUUAAAAAAAGGGGAAAUAGAACAUAUAUUUUGACCAGGCACUCGCUUCAGCGCCUGGUGCUUGCACUCCAGGUGAGCGCCUAGUUAAAUUGCCUCGCCUGGAAAAAUAAAAGGCAUGGGGUCUCGCCUCUCCUAGAGUACCUAGGUGAGCGCCUCAGCGCCUCUUGACAACACUGGCUCAAGCAAACCAAAUAUCAGGAUAUGUUUAGCUAUUACUACUUUGGCCUCAUUAGUGUUUCUUGAAAGCUGAAUUCUUUUUCCUUAGUGUUAAAUAAGUUCACCACUAGGAUCUGGAGGUCAAUCAGCCAGUCUCUGUCGUGAGUUAGGACAUUGCCCUAUAUUUCAGCUUAGUAACUUGUGGUUGUAAAUUGGGCUGGUGUUAUUCCAAAAAGAAGAAAAAAAGGGUUGAUGUGAUUUGGACAAGAAUUGGAGACAGUAUAUAUAUGAAGGCAUUAAAGACAUCAAAUCUACCUUCUCUGUAUUCUUGUACUCUCCUUGUAGGUUUGUGUUGGGGUUGAGAUGGGGGAGCUUUGGUAGCAUGCAUUCAUUAAUAAGGUGGCACUUCCCUUAAUUUCUUAUGGCAGGCUACAAGACACGCAGAGAUGGAAGCAAUUGAUGUUCUUCUUGAACAGUGGCAAAAAAUUGGACUUUCAGUGUCAGAAGUUGCUGAAAAAAUUUCAACAUGCAGUCUCUAUGUUACAUGUGAACCAUGUAUAAUGUGUGCUGCAGCUUUGUCGAUACUUGGUAUGUUGGUUCUCCUUUAAUGGCAAGACUCCAAUCAUUGCUAUCUUUCUUAUUUACAGCUAGUCUGAUCAGUUACUGCUGAAUCUGUUCCCCUGACUUAGGUAUAAAAGAAGUAUAUUAUGGAUGCGCAAAUGAUAAAUUUGGAGGUUGUGGAUCAAUAUUGUCAUUGCAUUGUAGCAGCUCUAAACUACCUAACAGGUACAUAUCUUUGUACCACAUUUCAGUUAGUUCAUGAUCAUUCAUAAGUGGAUAAUGCAUACCAGACCUCAAAAAUAUGCCUUAUUUGUGCAUUUUGCACAAAUGAAUAAUGUGAUGAAAUGGAGGAUACAAAUUCAUAUACCAAAGAGAAAGUAGCUAAUAUGAAUAUGAUGAUGGAAUAUGAACCUUACUGCCACUUGACAUCAAGAAAAAUUAAAAGAGAGAGUUUUCAUUCUGAAUAGUUCAGACUAGUUACAUGCCCCGCGCGAUGCCGCGGGUCAAUUAUUUUUUGCAUUUCAUAAAAAGCUAAGAUCUAAAAGUAUUAAAUUUUUUUGCAAAGUUAUACCCAAGAGUCUUAGGUUUAGUUGCAACGCCUAAUCCAAGAGUAAUGUUUAUAAUAUUAAUAAUAACAUUAAACUUGCAUGGCCUAAAUUUAAGUGGGUUUGACUGCAAUACCAGACCCAAUAACAUUGGACGUGGGUCUAGCUGUGCAAGGUUGUGUCAUAAAUGUGUGAUAAUUAAAUAGAUUAGUUAAAAAGAAAAAAACAAAGAAAAAAAACCAACAGAAAAAUAAAAACUAAUGAAGAAAAAGAAAAAAAAUAUGAAUUAACUGGGUUAACCCUUCAAACCAGUUUAACCCGUCAUACCUUGAAUUCCGUGAAAGUUUGAUAAUUAAAAAGAAAAAAAAACAAACUAAUGGGUUAACCCAGAAUUAACUGAGCUAACUCGUCAAACCAGGUUAACCUGUCAAACCCGGAAUCCGUGUCAUGAAAGUUUGAUAACUAAAUAGAAAAAAAAUUAACAUUAACAAUUUAAAUUAAACAACAAAAAUUAAUUAAAAAGAAAAAAAACAAAAGGAUGAGCCUUUUCACUGUGGACUGCACUGUGCAGUCCACAGUCAAAUGCAUAAAAACAACAAAAAAACAAAAAGAAAAACUAAAGGCAUCAUCCGAGAACUACUUAGAAAAAAAUUUAAUAUUAAUAAACUAAAUUAAUUAAAUAAAAUUAAUUAAAAAGAAAAAAUAAAAGAAAAAAAACCUCUAAGAAGAAAAAAAAACUAAAUAGAAAGAAAUUUAACAUUAACAAACUAAACUAAACAAAAAAAAUAAUUAAAAAGAAAAAAAAAGCAAAAAAAAAAAUUCCAGGUUAACUCGUCAAACCAGGUUAGCCCGUUAAACCCGGGAUCCGUGUCAUGAAUGUCUGGUAACUAAAUAAAAAAAAAUGAACAUUAACAAACUAAACUAAACGAAAAAAAUUAAUCAAAAAAAAUUAAAAAAAAUCCGGGUUAACUCGUCAAACCAUAUUAACCCAUUAAACUUAGGAUCUGUGUCAUGAAAGUCUGAUAACUAAAUAAAAAAAAAUUAACAUUAACAAACUAAAUUAAUCAAAAAAAAAUUAUGAAAAUAAAAAACAAAAAAAAAAAUUGACGGGUCAACCCAGAAUUAACCAGGUUAACCCGUGAAACCAGGUUAACCCGUGAAACUCGAGAUAUGUAUCAUGAAAGUCUGAUAACUAAAUAGAAAGAAAUUUAACAUUAACAAACUAAACUAAAUGAAAAAAAUUAAUUAAAAAGAAAAAAAGCAAAAAAAAUAUAUUUUUGGGUUAACUUGUCAAAUCAGGUUAACCCGUUAAAUCCGGAAAACGUGUCAUGAAAGUCUGAUAACUAAAUAAAAAAAUUUAACAUUAAUAAACCAAAUUAAACAAAAAACUUUUGUUAGAAGAAAAAAAAUAAAGAAAGAAGCAAAAAAAAAUCCCGAAAGGCAUAAAAAACAGCUAAAAAAAUAAGACAACUUAAAAAAAAAAAACCAAAAAUGGAUCAGUGUUUUACUGUGGACUGCACUGUGCAGUCCACAGUAAAACACUGAUGUGCAGUCCACAGUAAAACACUGAUCCGUUUUAGUAGAUGUUACAAUUAAUUAAAAAGAAAAGAAAAAACAAUUCGGGUUAACUCGUCAAAUCAGGUUAACCCGUCAAACCCGGGAUCCGUGUUAUGAAAAUUUGAUAACUAAAUAAAAAAAUUAACAUUAACAAACUAAAUUAAACAAAAAAAAUUCAUUAAAAGAAAAAUACACAAAGAAAAAAGCAAAAAAAAACCCAUAAAGGCAAUAGAAAACCAAAAAAAAGGGAAAAAAAAACAGAAAAAAAAGGGAAAAAAAAAACGAAAAAACAAAAAAAAAGAGAGGACUGCUCAGUGUUUCAUUGUGGACUUGCACAGUGAAACAUUGAGCAGUUUUAGUUUUUUCUUAAUGAUGGAAUAUGAUGCUUAGGGUCACUUGGGUGUUUUAUGGUUUGGAUUUAAAUAUCAAACCUCUGCUUUCAGAUUGUUAUUACAAACAAAAAGUAUAAUUUGUUAUGGACUACUCAUGGUAGAAGUGUUAGGUUAUUGCUUUGUGAUACCCUGCUUGUCUGGUUCCCAGUGCAAGGUCCUUAAAUUAUUUGGUAGAGAUUCUCUUUUAGAAACAUCUUCCAUUUAUUAGGGAAUUGUGCAAUUGAAUUCAUGCACAAUAUGUUCCACAUUUUGUCAGUGGGGACAUUGCACAAAGGAAAGAUUUCAAAUGUACUGGAGGAAUAAUGGCACUUGAAGCAGUCUCUCUUCUACGACGUUUCUAUGAACAAGGGAACCCCAAUGGUAUGAACUCGAUUGCCCAGCUACAGCCAUACAUGAUGCAUAUGGGCACAUGAACUGGAAUUUUGUGAAAUGAAUGGAAGGCAAUUUUUUUGAAUGUCUUCUAGUAAUUAUUAUGACAAAACCAACUUUGGAGUCUGAAAUGACUAGCACUUUGCACACCCUCUUAGCAAUUAUUAUUUGAUUAUAUGAUGCGUAUUGCAGUCAUAAUCUCUUGCAUGCUUUGAUGUUGGCGAUUCCCUGAACUGUGAAGAUCUGUAAGAAAUUAUUAAAAAUGAUGUACUUUCACCUCAUUUCUCCUCUUGGAAGAGAGAUAACCACUGGGACACCCACCCACCCAUGCACCAUUAUUAUAUUGAGGUCAGCUUUAGCAUUAUGCAAUGCACAUUCAUCAAUCUAACAUGUCGCAUGGGUGGGGAUGCAUCUACCUUGUUUGCUUAUCUAUACAGUCCUACGAGUAUUAUAUGCUAAGCACUGAAAAGUUUAGACAGUAACAUCAUAUCUUUAAUUGAAUUUGUCUUCACUGGACCCUCGAUAAUAACUUCUUUUUUUCAGCUCCAAAACCUCACAGGCCACUGGUUCAACAGGCAACAAACAACUAGACUACCAAAACAAUAUUUCAUACUUUCUUGCUUCCAGUUGUCUUGAUGUAAGACUUGCGAGAUAAUCAAGUACCUUCAUCAUCUGUGGGAAUUCAGGCAGAGGAAUGUGCUGGUUCAUCAGCAUUGCUUCAACACUUUAUGAGGGAUCUAGGAGCAAAGCUUUCAUGAUUAGUAGAUUUGAUUUUACACUUUCGACCGUACAAUCUCUUCUCAUCAGUUUCUUUCAAAACCCAGAUAAAAUCUAAGAAGUAUUUUAGAUAGAAACUGUAUACGGUGGACCAGAAAUUGAAAUUUGUGUUAUGGUCAAUGAAUGUAGCAAAUAUACUAUGAUUUUUUUCUUUCGGCAAUAAGAGAAUUUGUUACGAUGGAUCAUCAAUGUACACGAAGUUUGGAUUCUUCGAGUGGAAAUUUUGUUACAGAUAACAUUUCAGGUAAAGAAGAAGAGUAGCAGUACAAAAUCUUGAAACCUUUAAUCAAUGGUCACAUGAGCAUUCAUUUCUGUGCUUCUGCUAAAAUAAUUGGUGAUGGUAGUGGUAGUGAUAGCAGUAGUUCUUGGAAAAAAUGUUUUCAUGCAGAAUCCCUGGUAAAGAUGCUAAUUUGUGAUAAUUGUGAAGAUUCAUUUCAUGUAUCUUGCUGCAAUCCUCGUGUAAAAAGAAUACCGGUUGAUGAAUGGUUGUGUCGUUCAUGUUUGAAGAAUAAAGAAAAAAUUCCGAAGGAGACAAUUAUUAGAAAACCUCUCAAUAUAAUUCAUGACAUGGGCAGAUGUAGAAAUGCUUCAUCUGCAGAUAGAAAACCUCUCAAAAGUGGUGUUCGAGUUGUUAAAAGGUUUUCAAGUAGAAGUUCCAGAUUGGUAAGUUCCAAUUAUCUGACAUGUGAAAGUUGAUUCCCUCUUUCUUCAAUGCAUACACUCCAUCUAAGCUACUGGAUUUCAUUAUUAUUAUUACGAAAAAAUACUAAAUGACGUGGGAAAGCGUUAUAGCUUUUUAAACAAGAUACCGUGGAUUUUUAUAAUGUUUUUUUAUAUGAAUUUUUUUUUUACAUAUGGUUUUUUUGUUUUGUUUUAUUAUAAUGAUUUUUUUAAAAUUAUUUUUAUGAUUUUAUUUUUUAAUAUUGAACUGGUUGAGAAUUUAAAAUUAAAAUUUUUUUCUUUUUAUUUUGUUUAUAUAUGAAAUUAGCGUGAUUUGCAGGAUUGUCGAGGUAACUCAGGUUGCUCAGUUUAUGGAUUUGGUGAGUUUUUUUUAAAUUGAAUUUAUUUUUUUAUAAUCUAUUUUUUUUUCAUAUUGUUGAAAAAAUAGUUUUAAAGAAAAAUCAUUAUAUUAAAUUUUAUAAAGUAACAAAAAUUAAAGGAUGCGGGGAAAACCACUGCUCACCUAACACCUAUUACACCAUGGAUUACAAUAGUAAUUCACAAUGUUUUGUUUUUUUUUUUUUAAUUUUUGUUAUAAUUUUUUUAAAAAUAUAUUUUUGUUGAUUUUAUCUUUUAAAACUGAGAUUGUUAAGAAUUUAGUUUGUAAUUUACUUCUUUUUAUUUUUUUAUAUGAGAUUAACAUGAUUAUAGAUUUGUCAAAAUAAUUCAGGUUGUCUCAGUUUUUAAGUUUGCCUUUCUAAAUCUUUUUGUUAGGUUUGUUGUGACAUUAGGGAAUUCUAAUGUUUUCAAUUGAAGAAUAGAAUUAGGCUGGAUAAUUUUAUUCAUAUCACCAAGGGGUAUUUAUAUUGGACAAAUAUCAAUCAUUUAGGUAAGUCAACUAUACAAUUGAAUAGGCUACAAUCCUGGAUCUAAAAGUUAGGCUAAAAAUCACCCACUUACAACAAUCAGCUAACCAAUUGAUAGUUGUAUACAACGAAUAUACUUUAACUCUCUCCCUUAAAUCACACAUGCUCAACUUCGAUAGUGAUAUAUGAAAAAGACCACUAGUAAUAACAUGAGUUAUUAUAUUAACGAGCUCUCUUAGUAAGAAGAAAUCUUAACCAGACACCAAAAUCUAGAUUAUCUUUGAUGUUGAACUUGAACUCUUGUUAAGUUCAAUAUGCUUGGUUGAUCAUGAAUUAUUUUUUUAGAUUAACGUGGGUGUCCGGACUAACUUACGCGCAUCUCAACUAAUCUUACGGGUCCUGAAGUUAGCGACCAUGUAAGCCUUCAAUGGCUGUGAGGUUUGUGGGAAUCGAAUUGGUGACUUUUAGAAAGUAAACUCAGGACCUGAUCAGUUGAAUUACAAUCCUCGUUGUUGCUAAACUGGAUUUUUGGUAAACUUAAUAGUUGCUGUGUUUCCACAAAAAAAAAGCACUGUUGUUUUUUUUGUAUCGUACCCAAUUCACCAGAGAGAAUUUUGAGCCAAGUAAGCUUUGUAAUAUGAUGGAGGGCACGGUAUUCUGAUUUCGCACUAGAUAGUGAUACAACAUCCUGUUUUUACUCCUCUGAGUUACUUAGAUACCUCCAACAAAUGACACAUAUCCUAAGAUAGAUUUUCCAUCUAAUUUGAAAUCCAGCAAAAUCAAAAUCAGUAUAUUCCACAAUAUCCAGGUGGUUAUGUCAAGAGAUCAAUACACCUUUACAUGGAGAGGAUUUCAAGUAAACCAGGAUACAAUUUACAUGGAUGAAUUGGCUCCCAACACUAACAGCAUUGAUCUCUACAACCUUUGAUACCUCUCGUUAUUCGUUGGAACCUGAUCCAGCUAGAAAGCAAGACCAUGGUUCAUCUUAGUAAGAGUAUCCACAGGGUUACAUGCAGAGUUAUCAAUUUCAGUCAGGAGAUCUAAUAUGUAUUUCUGUUGUGAGAGAAAGAGUCUUUGCUUGAAUGGAGACACUUCAAUGCCCAAGAAAUAUUUUAAAGUUCAAGUCCUUAUCUCAAAUUUCUUGGCCAAGUAGUUUUAAAGUUUCUCUAGCUCACUUAUGUCACUGCCUGCAACAAUAUGUCAUCAAUAUAAAUAAAUAAGCAAUAUAAUAUCAUCACCUUCCUUUUUAUAGAACACAGUGUGAUCUGCCAAGACUUGUUUGAAACCAUUCUUCUUCAUCGAGUGACUCAAACUGCUGAACCAAGCCCUCGACAUUUGCUUCAGUCCAAACGGUGCCUUUUUUAGCUUGCGUGCUUUUACCUCCUUUAGGCAUAAAGUUUGGAGGAGGGCCCAUAUACACUUAACAGGCUUAUAUAUCAAUGUUUGUUCUUUCAAUUAGUCAAUAAUAAUUGAUAACUAGAUAUUUUCUACUGGAUUUAAAAAGUAUACCAUACAGACAUUGCAUUAAUUAUCAAUGAGAAAAAUGGAAGAAUUCAGUCUGGGGAGAUAUACCAAAGAGAAAGUAACUGAUAAAAAAAACCUUACUGUUGCUUGACAUUGAAAAAAAUUAUAAGAAUUCCCCUUGGAGAUUUUUUUAUGAAUAGUUCAGUGAUAGCAUAUAAUGCCUAGGAUCUGUUGGGGUGUUUUAUUGUCUGGAUAUAAAUAUCCAACCUCUGCUGUAAUUCGUAAUGUACUUCCCAAUGCAAGGUCCUUUGAUUGUUUGAUAGAGAAUCUAGAGAUUUUGUUUUAGAUACAUCUUGCAUUCAGGGAAUUGUGCACAUGAAUUCAUCUAUAAUAUGGUACUUAUUUUCUUACUGGGGACAUUUCAUAGAGGAAGGAUCUCAAAUGUCUUCAGUGGCUCUAGAAGAAGUCGCUCUUCUACGAAGUUUCAAUGAACAAGGGAACCCUAAUGGUAUGUAGCUUGAUUACUCAGCUACAGCCAUUUAUGCGCACAAGAGCUCAUGAACUGGCAUUUUGUGAAUUGCUUUGUCUAGAAAGCAAUUUUUUGAAUGUCUUUUGGUAAUUAUUACGACAAAACCAAGUUUGGAGUCUGGAAUGACUUCCUUUUUGCACACGCAUGAACACGUAGGCAAUUAUUAUGUGAUGACAUGAUGCUUAUUUCAUCAUAAUCUUUUAUAUGCUUGAAUGUUAACGAUUCCCUGAACCGUGUGGAGAUCUUUAUGAAAUCAUUAGAGAUGAUAUUACUUACACCUCUCUUCUCUCCUUGGGAAAGAAUUAACCACAGGGACGAACACACACAGCCUCGUUAGGAUUUAAGAUAUUGAGGUCAGUUUUAGCAUUCUGCAAUGCACCUUCAUCAAUCCUAAUAUGUUGCGGGGGUUUGGAUGCAGCUACCUUGUUUUCUCAUCUUAUCAGUCCUAUGAGUAUUAUAUUUGCUAUGCACUAAAAAGUGUAGACAGCAACAUAAUUUCUGCUAAUUGAAUUUAUAUUUGCUAUGCACUCAAUACUCAGUUUUUUUUUUUUUUCUAGCUCCAAAGCUUCACAUACCACUGGUUCAACAGACAACACACGACUAGGAAUUUCAUAAUUAAGCACCUUCAUCAUCCGCAAGAUUCAGGCAGAGGAAUGCGUUGAUUCAUCGGUAUUGUUUCAACUGUUUAUGAGGAUCUAGGAGCAAAGCUUUCAGAAUUACUAGCAGUUUUGAUUCUGCAUAUGAUGUUACAGUAUUGUACAAACUCUUCAUCAGUAGCUUUUAAAACCCAGAUAAAAUCUGGGCUUGAAAUAAGAAUUCUUUCAUAUAGAAACUGUAUAUGGUGGACCGGUGAUUGAAUUUUAUGUUACAUUUGCCUUGGUCAAUGAAUGGAGCAUUUUUAUUGUGAUUUUUUUUCCAUUUCUCUUUACAAUAAGAGAUGCUAUGUGGUUUCAGUUGAUGUCAUGCAUUUGAAGGGAAAGUGGAAGAAUGGAAUUUGUGGUCUUAUGUUAGUGUCAUCUCCAUGCUUUCUUGAAGGACUUGAUUACUUUUCAUGGCGUGUAAUCCAUGUAAAGUCUAAAAUUAAGAAACAAUUGCAAGAUUGCUUAUCUUGGCCAUUGCUGUACUAUCACAACUGAGCAGAGCAAACCUAUCAAUAAAUUAGGUUUCUAUAUAAAUUUUUUACCAAUAAUGCACCAUGAAAAACACAAAUGUGACAUAUUUGGAAGUUUAAAAGAGAAACAGCAUGAACUUUAGAAGGCUUUAUUACAAUUGUAUCAAUAAUGGAAACAAAGACAUGAUCAAAUCUAUAAUCUGAAAAUUUUCCCCAUUAAGAACAAAAACGGCAUGACAUAAUUAACCCAUAUUCUAUAAUUUAAAAACUUGUUACAAAGCAGAAAGUGUUCAUUCUAGCAACAUUCAUUAAACAAGAAAGAGGAGACAGAUCUGGAGUUAAAAGUUUUCAUCCUGCUGCUGCUGCUUCUUCUUUUCUCAUUACUACCUUUUGCACAUCUACUACUAUGGGCACAUUUGUAUUAUACAUUCUAUUUUAUAACAGGAGAUGAUAAUCUUGUUUACUCCAUGUUUUCAAUUCAAAUACCAAGUCUAAGGAAAGAUUGUAAAAUUUCAUGUAAGUAUAUUAUUUGGAUGCAAAAUACGAGAUCAACUCGCACAUGAUUUAUGUUUUUAGCUGUGAAGAACAUUAUUUCGAUGUUUUUUACAAGAAACGGAGAUUACAUCGUAAAUGCAACCAACACUUAGUCUUGAUAGAUAUACAAAAGCAUGUCUAAAAAUGUCUCGAAUCUAGAUCAUUAAAAGAACUCAUAGUAAGCAAAUAAUAAUAAUAAGCGCAUAAAUUGAAUAGCAAGUGAAAAAAAACACCUUUACAACCGGUUGCACACAAACAACUAUUCUGUCCAUAAAAAAAAAAAAAAGGGUCAGAGUAAAAAACAGAGUUUUAAAGAGAGAGAAGGGGGGGAGUUUUUAGUUUUAGAGAGAUAAAGAGAGAGGGGCUUUGUGUCGUGGCCAGCUUCUUAUAAAGAGGCCUCAUUGCCAAGCCAUUUCCUUAUUGUUGGAAGGCUUUUGGCGAUCAGGUAUAACUUUCUUGUCAUUUUUGCUUUCUGCGUUUUGAAUUUCACUGUUACUUUUUUGUUUUUUUUUCAUUGCUUUAUGUUUCAGAUAUCUGAAUGUUGAUGUUUGUAGGGCAUUUACAGCGAUUCUUGAAUGGAUUUUUUUUUUUUUUGCUAUUCUUUCUUUAACUUUGUGUGAAAGAAAUCAAGACGAACAGUAUAGGAAAUUGUGAAUUGAAUUCUAUGAGUUCUGGAAACCUGAAAAAGAACUUAGGGCAUUUUAUUUUCAGUCUUCAAGAAGGAACCGACAAACCCAUUAUUGAUUUUAAAGAAAAUCCCUUGGCAUUGUUAGAAUAAGUUCUUCAAACUUAGUUAAUAAUGUUUUAAUUGGUUAUUGAAGCUCUAGAUGGUGCUGGGUUUAGGUUUUGGUGGGUUAGAUUUGAUAGUUGUGAUUUAAGGAUGUCUUUUGUUUUCUUUUGUGGGUAAAAGAAGAUGUGUUCAGGUUUUCUUUUUAUGGUUUAUUCUAUAAGUUUUGUUUGUUAUUUGGAUGAUUUUUGUUGUCUUUGGGAAGCUUGGGGUUUCUCUUUUGUGGUGAAGUUGGAGUUUUUGUGUGUCCACCCAUGAAUGUCUACUUGAACACAAAUGUUAUAAGCCCUAAAAUUUGGCAACCAAUGGUGCUGUUUAGUUUGUCUUUUGGAAAGUUGAUGAUUAGAGAGCUCUUAGUUUCAUAUAGUAAUCUGACAAGUUUCCAUAAUGUUAUGUGGUUUAUAUGCUUCUCCUUAUAUAUGCAAAACAUUCUUUAAACCCUUUAAUUCUUUGGGUGAAAGGAAAAAAUUAUUGAGGAAGAACAUGAAUAAAGAAUCCUAAAGGUAUGCAUCUUUCUAAAAUGAAAGAUAAAAUUCACCUAGCUCAAUUUGCAGGAUAAAAUUAGGAAGCCUAGAAAAAUACUCUAACCAUGGUUGUUGAUCAUAAUGUGAUUGAUUUCUUAAAAUUCUUGCUUCUCUUUCAUCUAACACACCAAAAAAGAAAGUAAAAAACUAUUGGAAGAUCUCUCUCCUUUCCAUACCCCCUUUCGGAAAAGCCCUUAACAGUUGUCAAGUGGUUCUCUGUAGGAUGAGCACUAAAUAUCUAGUGCAAUUAAGGAGUCUAUAAGGCAUCGUAUCUUGAUGUUCAAUGUGUUCUAUGCUCAAACAAUGCUAAGAAUCAGGGGACAGGGGCUUUUUUCAUAAGGUUGUCUUGUCAUUAAAGUAUGCUGAUAAGCUUUUUGGUGUUUGUGGUGAAUAAUGAAUGUUAUUAGGAGUUCAAAUGUCUGGUUGAUACCUCUACGAGUAGCACUGUGAACUUCUUCAGCUUUGUGCUGUGUACCAUUUCUUCAGUAAGCAAAGGGGGGCAUUUUUAAGGUCUAUAUCAAUCACAAGUUUGCAUCAUAGGAGGUUGCUAAGCAGUGGCUUCGAUUUGGAGUGCAAAAAUCACAUCAGCUGGAUAUUGGCUGAGUUUUCAGGUGAAAAUGUUGAUACAGAGUUCCCUAUCUACUUCAAUUGAAUGUACUCCAUUUCAUGUAUCUGACCAAGGGAAACAGGAUUUAUUUUGUGACUGGAUGCCUGGUACUGAAAUUUGGCAGAUGUGCUCAAAAUGUCAUGAACACUGCCAUAAUUGCUGUAAAGAUGCUGCUUCAAUCACCGAGGAAAAGGAGACUAACAAUUAUUCAUGCCUGUUAAGUUUUCCGAGAGGUCCUCAUCCACCAACUAUCAUUAAAAUGUCUGAAAGUUCAGCACCUAGUUUUGUAUAUUGUAGAAGGAAGUUACAAGGAAACUCUAUUGAGUUUUUAUCAGCAAUCACAAAGAGAAGUGGAGAGGAUUGUCCUUAUGCCAUCAAUUCUGAUGGUCCUUCAGUUGCAGUUAAGGAGCACUGUGUAGUUUCUGAAGAUGAGCAUGAAACCGGUACUGUUAGAGUACCUCUCAUGACUCCUAUAUUAUGCAAUGGAGUUGAUUGUUCAUGCCCCUUUUCCUUUGGAAGAAGUACUCAACUUGCAUCUGUCAGUUCAGUGUCUGAAAGUGCUGCUACUAAUUUUGUUUAUGGGAAAACAAAGCUACGACAAAACUCUGUUUCCUUUUUAUCAGCAAUGGCAAAGACAAGUGGAGAGGAUUGUCUUUCUGUGAUCAGUUCUGAUGGUCCAUCAGCUGCACGGAAGGAGCAGCGCCUAAUUUCUAUACAUGUGCAUGGAGCUGCCCUUGUACCUCGUCCUCCAGUAUGCAAUAGAGCUGAUUCUCCAUGCCCAUUAAGUUCACAAAGAAGCCCUCAGCUACCCACUGUCAGUACAAUGUCUGAAAGUUCUGCAUGUAAUUUUGUAUACAGCAGAAAGAAGCUGCGAGGAAACUCUGCUAGCUUUUUAUCAGAACAGAUCCCUGCAAUGGCAAAGAGAAGUGGAGGAGAGGAUUGUCUUUCUUUAAUCAGUUCUGAUUGUCCAUCAGCUGCACGCAAGGAGCAAUGCCUAAUUUCUCAACAUGAGCAAGGAGCUGCCCUUAUGCCUCCUCCUACAGUAUACAACAAAGAUGAUUCUCCAUGCCAAUUAUGUUUACAAAGAAGUCAGCUACCAACUGCCAGUACAAUGUCUGAGAUUUCUGCAUGUAAUUUUAUAUACAGCAGAAGGAGGAUGCGAGGAAAAUCUGUUACCUUUUUGUCAGCAGAGGUCCCUGGAAUCACGAAGAGAAGCAGAGAAGAUUGCCUUUCAGUCAUCAGUUCCGAUGGUCCUUCACUUGCAGUUGAGGAGGCACAUGUAGUUUCUCAAGAUGAUCGAGAUCAGCAUGAAAGGGGAACUGGUGGAGCUCUUAUGCCUCCUCCUAUAGCAUACAACAGUGAUGAUUCUCAAUGCCGAUUAAGUUUACAAGGAAGUCCUCAGCUACCAACUUCCAGUACAAUGUCUGAAAUUUCUGCACGUAAUUUUGUAUACAGCAGAAGGAAGCUGCGAGGAAACUCUGCUACCUUUUUGUCAGCACAGGUCCCUGGAAUCACAAAGAGAAGCAGAGAAGAUUGCCUUUCAAUCAUCAGUUCUGAUGGUCCUUCACUUGUCGUUGAGGAGGCACGUGUAGUUUCUCAAGAUCAUCAAGAUCAGUUUGAAAGGGGAACUGGUGGGGCACUUCCCAGGCCUCCUUUAGUAUGUUAUGGAGAGCCCCAUGUUUCAAAAUCAGAAUCUAGCAGUGGAUGUUCACUUGUUGAAGACCUGGUUUCUGAUGAGGCUACAAAAAAAAGCAGGCCAAAAAUCAUUGAGGUUGACAGUAUAAAUGAUAGCUGCUCAUCAUCAAAGUCAAAUAUGGAUCUUGUUUCAGAUUCUACAAAGACUGAAGGAGAUGAUAAUGGUGAGUGCUCUUCAUCCAGUAUAGUGGCAGCAGAGGUCACAGGGGAAGAUCAGUCUGAAAAUGAUCAGUGUAUCUCUAUACUCAGAAGGCAGGGGGCUUUUGAGGGAGUUUGGCCCGGCAAAACCCAUGUUUCUGCUAAAAGCAUUGGUGAUGGUAGUGGUAGUGGUAGCAGCAGUUCUCGGCCAUGCAAAAAAUGUUUUCGCAAGGGAUCCCCUGUAAAGAUGCUAAUUUGUGAUAAUUGUGAAGAUUCAUUUCAUGUAUCUUGCUGCAAUCCUCGUGUAAAAAGAAUACCAGUUGAUGAAUGGUUGUGUCGUUCUUGUUGGAAGAAGAAACGGAUAAUUCCCAAGGAGACAAUUUCCAGAAAAUCUCUCAAUAUAAUUGGUGACAUGGGCAGAUGUAGAGAUGCUUCAUCUACUGGUGAAUCAAAUCCUAUAGCAUUGAUGUUGAGAGAUACUGAGCCGUAUACAGGUGGUGUUCGAGUUGGAAAAGGUUUUCAAGUAGACAUUCCAGAUUGGUCAGGUCCAAUUAUCAAGUACGUUGUUUUGCUAAUCCUCUUAAUUUUGAAUAUGUGAAGCAGACAUCCAUAAGAAAUAGCUAGACUGAAUUAUGUGCUAUUUAAUCUUAUAGACCCUCCCAUUAGCAUUCAUAUCCACGUCAUUUUUUAUUGUUGGAGUAACACUUCAUCAUACAAACUCGUUUAUCUGGUUUAUUUGCUUCUCAGGGGGCUUUAAAUCUGACAUAUGAGAGUUGGUUCCUUCCUUUUUUAAUGCAUAUGUUCCAUCUAAGUUACUGGAUUCCAUGUUAACUAAAGGAUGCCCAUAUCAGGCAUUUUUUUGCCUUUCAAAGCUUUUUUGGUAGGUCUGACAAGUCAUUGAGGAAUUCUAAUGGAUUCCACAUAAUAGAGAUUGUAUAAGUUGUUUGUAGAGAAUUUUUCUGAAGGAGGGAGUUGGUACUAUUAUUCUGAAAGGAAAUAAGCCUGAUGCUGAUGGUCUUGGAUUGUUCCAACGUUUUCAAGAAUGAGAUCAUUAAGCCUGAUGACCAUGUUCUUUUGUGCAGUCCAUUGCUGUUUCUUCCUGAUCCUAGAAACACAAGUGUCUGCGAGUCUUGCUGGCAACCUUACAAGAUUUAACAGGCUAGGAAGAGGGAGCAAUGACUUUGGCCAAGAAUUGCUGUUUUACCAUUUAUUAAAAACGUUACAUUCUAUUGUUCUUUAGCUAUAGACUUUGGUCUUGCAAUAAAUCUUUAUUUUUGAGAUGUUAUCAAACUUGAUACAUCCCAUGGUGUACAGAUGGAUCUUUUAUGCCCCUUUUCACUUAGUAGCAGAGGCACUAGUAGCUUGGUAGGAUCAAACAUAGCAGCCAUUUUGUAGGCGUCUUUGCAGACUGAACAUGUUUAGUCUCUUUUCUUCAACGUGUUGAUGCACAACAAUGUGGCCCCAUGAUUUGUAUUUUGAGUUGAUUAUGGGCUCUUUGAGGAAUGCAUGCUUAGAAGGGAGAGAGCUGACUCUUCAGUAAUCUGUUUGGUUGCUAGCAGUGCUAAAUGGCCUGAAGCUAAUUUUUUGGAGGCAAUAGCCUUACAGUUUUUGGACCCAAACGUAGAGGAAACUGAAAAUUAUUUGGCUUCAUUAAAGCAAAAUGUCAUAUUUUUUUAUAGUGACUAUAAAUUCCCAUUUUCAGAGCAUCUAUGUUUAAUGUGCUGAAAGAACAAAAAGUAGCAGUUAAUAGUUUGCGGGUCAGACAAUUGUAGGUUAUAAGGCAAAGAAAUGGUAGGUUUAAUUCCAUGAAAGGUAUACAGGCAAGUAUAGGAAUUAUUCCAUGAAAAGGCUCUGUGUUUCUUUGAUCCUUCAGUCUGUACCGAGGCACAGUACGUUGGCUUGUGUCAGACACAAAUUUUUUCAGUGUUCUAUUCCUUGUCCUCUCCUUUAUAUUAUUUGCUUUCAUUUUUCUUUUUUCCUUGCAGUAGGACUUUCCUUUUAAAAAAUUUAAGAAUGAUGCGAGACUGUUUCUAAUUAUCACCAGGAUGUCCUAGACUUGUUACUUUUAACAUCAUCUGUUAUUUUGAUUUUCAUGUAGUGUCGUCGACAUUAUUGGCAAACCUUUGGUAUUGGAGCCAUCAUACUUUGUCGGUUUGUUCGUAAGUCUUCAAAUUGUUUAUUAGUUUCAAGUUUGUCAGUUUAGCUGCAGAUUUCUUGGUGUUUUGAGAGAACUGAAACAUCCUCUUGUGCAGGAAUUGAAGUCCAACAAGUCUUCUAAACUUGGAUCUAUAGGCAAUUGGCUUCAGUGUAAACAGGUUAUAGAUGAUGCAGCAGAAGGAGGCAAUGUAACUAUAUGUGGAAAGUGGCGCAGGUAAAACAAAUAGUGAUCUCCUCUCUUGGGUGAUUUUGCUCGUGUUUUUGUUUAUUAACCUGCUUUUAGUUGGACAGCCUCAAACUCAAAUGUUUUAGUUAUUUGUGGGAGAGUCCAAUGCACAAUAAAAACCCGUACUAGGACUUUUAUACAACUCUCAACACUUGGCCCAUCCAUGAACUAGUGUACUGGCAGGUUUUAGCCUAGCAAUGCCUUGGUAGCGAAAUUUUGUAAUAUUUGUUUUUGCAAACACAAUAAACAGUUUGAAGAAUUUAAACCAUCAAGCUUGAAUGUUUAAUCUCUUUAUAGCCGUAAGUUUUUAGCAGUUCAUAUCUUGUGUAGAAACGUUCACUAAGUGAAAAUAUUAUGAAAUAUGAGCAAGCAUUACUGCGCACUCAAUUUAAACCAGGUACUAAAGUCAACCAUGAAUGUUUAAUCUCCUUAAUUCAUAUUGUUCAACUAAAUCCUCCAGCGCUGAACCUAUUAAUUUUGGCAUUGCCUUGUGUCUAUCUUAGUCUUGCAAUUUCAGGAACAAAAUGCGGGUAUAAUGUUAAUUUUCUCGUCUUAAAUUGCUAUUGACAAGUAUGAAGCUUGGCAAGUCCUUUCCUAUCAUUGAUGCAUCUUUGUGAACAUUUUGUAUCAUCUGCCCUUUGUUGUGCUGUUGGUUCAAAAUGUCAUUCCACUUAGUAGGAGAUUAAAGUGGAAUCAAUUCAAUUAUCUAUAUCAUGUCAUUGGCUGUAGCUUUGUGAGAGAUCCAAAAUAAAUUAGUUUGCUAACUCUUUCCCAUAGACAAUCCCACCAAGUCAUAAUUGAUCUGAUAGAUCUAAUAUUUAUCUCUUUCUAGUUAAGCUUGAGAAGAUUAAGUUCUAGAAUGUUGUUGAUGUAACAGGGCUCCUCUUUUUGAAGUCCAAACUGCUGUCUGGGAAUGCUUCUGCUGUGUCUUCUGGGAUCCAAUUCAUGCCGACUGUGCUGCACCUCAGGUGAAUUAGGCUUUUAUGUGAAAUCUUUGGAAUCAUGGACUUUCUAUGUAGCAAACAAAUUGUUUUUGGGUUCCUACCAUCUUUAUUACUUUAAUUAUAAGUACAAGUUUGCGGAGAUUAUUGAAUAUUCUUAAGCUAUAUUUAACAUAUACCUCAUAUUUUAUCGUAACCAAAUUUUGUUACAUGCAUCUGCCUCAGGAGCUGGAAACAGAUGAAGUUAUGAAGCAAAUAAAGUAUAUUCAGAUGGUAUGUUUUGGACGAUAUUUCAUGAUUUUAGAGUUUUAGCACUAGCGGCUUGGUCAUUGUUAUUUAAACUUGCUUGUCCUACUUACUUUUUUCCAAGAAUACACUGCUUUUAGGCUGUGAUGAAGGGCCGAAUCUACUAUACAAAUUAUUCUGCUGUUCAGAGCAGACACAUGGUUAGAGUUGGUAGAACCUUGAAUCUUAUCAUUGAGCAUGGUCUUGGUGGUUCGAUUAACAAAUGUGGAAUAAAACUGACUGUAAUUUGUCAAAACUUAUUAACAUAGUUCAUCUAAGUGCACUUGUUUUAGGAUCCUUGGCAUUUCUUUUGGUCAAGGACAUGCAAAUUUCUCUUAUCUUCAUUUGUUAACAUGUCAUUUGUUGUGCAGCUGAGACCCCGAAUAGCAGCUAAACAUCAGAAAUUGAGGCGUGCCAGCAUUGGCGAUCCAAUGGAUGAUUGAAAGGAGUGAUAGUUGCAAAUUUCCAAGAAUGAGCAAACACUGCUCGAUGAUUUCAAUGAAGUAUUAUCCAUACAGCUUGCUUUGUACAUUCAUUCUCACAGAAAUCCACAGCUGAGUUUUGGAGUUAGGUAUUCACAUCAUAACCGAAACAAAAUUAUUUUUAUAUUAGAUUGGUUUUUUAAAUGUUCAAUAUGAUAUAUGUGAGCCUUUGGUUGAGCCUGCUCAUAUGUCCCGAUAGGAAAUUUCAUUGAUCAUGGGAUAUUAAUUUCGCCAAUCACUUCCUUGUGAAACUCAUUUGUGUUGUCAUUCUAGUUUUCUCCCUUCCUAACCCAUCAAUCUCGAUAAUUCGAGGAUAAUAUUGGUGCAAUUUGUAGGAGAGGGACCUAAUCUAAAUAUGUGUAAUAGGUGGAUAGUGCAUUGGUAGGUUGCUCUACAGUGGAAGCAGAGUGAAGUUGAUGAUGUAACUGAUGAAAAAUCAGAGGUAAAUGAAGAGACAGUCGGUGGAUUUGUUGGGGGGUUAUGAAAGAGAAGCGACUGCGCUUGUAACUGCUGUUCUUGUACAGAAGUCCAACAAGAAAAUCUUCCUGUGUAUAUAUAUUUUAGCGAAAACAAAAAUAUAAAUGCCAGCGAUGUCUGUGGAUGCACAGACACUAUCCUUGAGACAAACAAGUGGUAGCAUUUGUUUUUGUUUUUUGGUCAGAAAUACAUGAAAAUAAUGUAUAUAUAUUCUCAGCUUCAGGUCACAAAUCAAUGUGUUCACGUGAUUAAUUUUACUACAAAUGUAAAUUACUAAAUAGCCUGUCACUGGAACUGGUAGAAGGCAUUCACAGCCCAAUAAAUAGGGUGAGAGGACCAAAAUCCACCAUAACAGCAAAGAAGAAAAACCAAGUAAAAUUUAUAGUCACGCACUCACACUGUCAAACGACUCAAACAUACUAGUCAUGUUAAAACCUAUAGCUUGAACUCUAAGGAACACGCCCAAAUUGCACUAGAAGAAUCACAAUUACACAAAUGGAGCAAACCGGAGAUCUUUGUACUGACCCAAAUUGCCUUGAGCCUUUCUUUUGUAUUUUAACAUCUUUCUAAGAAAAUAAGUACUUGUACAAGGAGUGUCCAUAACACAGAUUAGAAACAAAAGAUAAAAACUACAAUGCCAGCCCUACCUGCAAAAGUGUUUAGACAAAAUGCUGUGCAAAUAAUAAUAGGUUGCACGGUGUAUCAAUUUUUUCCCCUCAACUCAGCAAUGGGAAUGUAAACGAUAAAUUCUUCAAGUGGACGGGUUUUGGAUGACUUCCUAGCUUUGCCAUUUUGUAGCUUCACCACUUUCUGCUUCAUCUUCUCUAAUAUAGCCUUCGCUCUACAGAGUCUCUCCAUAUCAUAUUCAGCCGCUACUGAAAUAGGAUUAACCUUUUUCUUUACUCCCUUUGGUUUUGCUUUUAACAACUUCUUCAAGCUCACAUCAUCACUGCACUCAGCAUUCAUCUGAAAGUGAUAAAAGCUAACAUAUGUGAGGCAUAUGAAUAAAUAAGAACUCUAUGCUGUAGGUGCAUCAAUCCUACAGCAAAACUCAAAACGAUAAUAACUCUGAGGAUAUCUUUUCCCAUAUUAAUGCAUAGCCUCCCAACACCAACCUCACACUCACACAAACCAUUGCCCACAAGAUAAUACACAAUUGUCAACUCCUUAUCCAAUCACUCAAGACUUCUUUGUUUUUUAUCACAGUGCAACCAGAGAAGCAAUGUAGACAGAUAAAGAGAGCACACGAAUUGGGCCUGAAGAAAAAAUAAAUAAAGAAAACAAUCAAGUACUUAUGAUAAAGAAUACCUCAUUGCUUUUAGUAGGUGAUUCGUAGGAACCUCUUUUCUGUUCAUUUUUCCUUAAACUUCUGCUUAUUGACUUCAGCUUCUUCCUCUGAAGGAUCCUUUUCAAAUUCUUUGGGAUACAUACCUCAGUUUCUUCCCAAGAAUCCUGUGAAAGAUCAGCAGUUUUGCCCUCCAUGACAUUUAAUGUGGGUUCAGCAGAGACUUUGGAACUAGAGUUAUGAAGUUGUUCUCCUUUCUCUACCUGUUGUGGAAGUGAAUUGUCAUACACGAAACUGAAACCCAUAGAAAGACCUUGAGACAGAAGAUUUGAAAGUUUCGACUCUCAAAUAAUCACAUGAACAUGAUAACUACGAAUAAUGCAUCUCAUGUUGACACAGAAUUUAUACUUUUUAACUUAGUGACUGAUAAGCAUGCAGGAGAAAUGAAUUAUUCUUUCGUCAGUUCUAAAGACAUUAUUUGUAUUUGAGAAACAUUAAGGUCAAAAUAUUAACAAAGAGUAUCAAUUUUUAUUAACAGUUCAAAACAUCUGCAUAGAAAGAGUCAUGAAAGUCCUCAGCAGAACUUUGAAUACUACUGCAACAAAAUAUAACUGUUGCAUUUAAUGUACAUGAAGUACCAACUCACCUUCCGGGACUUCAGAGCUAAAUAACGGGAAUUCUUGAACCAUUUGCUAACCUGAAAUUACAACUUAAGUGUAAAUAUCUGGAACUUAGAAGAAAUGAAGAGCUAACAUGUGAAAGAGUAAUCCCAGUGGACAAUAUAAUGAACUACAACACCAAAGUAACACUUUUUUACAGAUGAAAAGGAAAGGAAGAAAAAGUUGAUUUUCCACUUUAAAAUCACUGAUUUGAUAUGUAUGUAUCCUAUAGUAGUUCUGUAAGUUCAAUUUCAAGGCAUCAUUAUGCAUUGAUUCAGUAGCUUAAGUUGUUACCUUCCCAGGUUCAAGGCCCAAUUCUUUUGACAGAUUCUCCUUGACAGUUCUAGAUGGAAGUUCAUUUUCUACAAAUACUUGGCGAAGUUUCUGGGACAGCACAUGAAAAGGGAAAGAUAACUUGCGCAAUUUACCAAAUUAAAUUACUAAGUAAUCCUUAAGAGAGAGAGAACAUAAAAAAAUUGUUUGGCAAGACACAUGUGUGGAGUGGAGGAAACUACUACCUCAACUGCAUCAGGGGGGAGUCUGAAAAUUGGCCUUCGAGUUUGAGGGGGAAGGUUCAUCAUACCUUCAAUGGUCUCAUCACUUUUACUUUUUUUUUUACUUUCACACAGUGUCAUAAGGGUGCUGGCUGCAUUUGACUCCUUCUCCCGUCGCUUUCUUUUGCCAGGACCCCAAUCUUCGUCUUCACUGGCUUGCUCGUGUGCAGGAGCAUCCUUUCCAAACACCUCCUGAUAGGAAAGAAAUUCACAUUGCCUUAGAUAAAUGAUUCUGAACUAUCACUUAAGAAAUAGACAGCAGAAAAAAUAAAAUAUAAACUCUGCAUCAUUAGUUUCCACAGCAUAAUUUUAAGAGCUAAAUAGAAAUAGACAGCAUAAUUUUCAUCACUAUUGUUUCUUGGGGUAAAUCAUUGGUCCAAUACAUAGGCAUCUAUCAAAUGCCUGCUUUAGCUAUAUCGCUGUCACACCCCCUCUUCCUGCAAGCUACUUCAAAAAACAAUUCCAGAGAAACCUAUUAACCUUCAAUAAGAACAACAAGAAACUAGUCCCAGGAGGUGGAGGAAGAAAAGCAGAGUCUAAUCGUACAUCCCAUCCAUAUAUUUUUCUUGACCCUUGUUUUUUUCUUUUUUGCCUUUUCCUAAAUUUGACCUGUAAGUUCGAAAAUACAUUAUUACCUCAGCAUUCCAGAUCAAAUAUAGAUUAAACUUGCCAUAGCGGAUAUAGUUUGAAGUUUUAAACAGAGAUUCUAUCACACUGUGUGCAUAACCACUAAAAAUCACUGAAGAUGCACUUCUUCCUAUAAAAAGAGAAACCAACCUAUGAAGUUGAUUCAAGUUGUCACACCACCAUAACUUUUUAGUUUUAUGCGAAGCUAGUGAUACAAUUUUAUGUUACAAGCAUUUAGAAUUACUCACAUCAUAUAACUUCUUAUAGUCAAUUGCUCUUCUCUGCCUACGGCCACAAACAAUUUCCCCAUCACUGGUUUCAUCAGAAUCUAAACUGCUAUAAAUAGAAUUGUUUCUGAAGUCCAAGCCAUGCAUCUCCCACCUCCUGGAUCCCAAAAAAACCUCACCAUCUGAAGACCAACCCAAGCUGGUUGAACUGCUGAUGUCAUCAGAUGCAUCAUCAUCAGUACCCGCUUCACUCAUGAUGUUGUCUCUCCUCUCUGGAUCGUAAUUAUCAUCUUCAGAAUCAUCUGAAGGCCAUUCUUCUUCGGGGUUUAAUAGCACAUUUCCAGCAUCAGGAAUUGCUGCUUCUUCUGUGAAAAUAUCCUAUUUCAAGAUAUAGUGAACAUCAGAUUGGUUACAGGGCACCAAAACCAAGAUUUUUUAAUUCCCUUUCAACUUUUUAGCUAAGAAAAAAGCUCAACAAUAUUUUAACAAUAACCUGCCAACUGCUGUCCUCUGAGAAAUGGGUUCCCAAAUGAGCAUUCAUAGCUUCUAUAAUAUCCAUCCUGCAUUCACAGAACUUGCAAAACCAUCCCUGAUCUCCUGGAGGUACUGCAGAAGUGCAAAUUAUCAAAUGUACAGAAAACCUUAGAAACAAUCCAUUUGUUUCGUAACUCGGUAGAAAAAACUUCACAAGAAAAGAAGUGAGUAGAACUGACUACUUUCAGUAUCCAAGGGAGGUUCAAGGCAUUUUUGGUGGAAAGCACAGUUGCAUGUACCAUCACAGAGUACAAUAUCAUUAUCUGGGGAAACUUCAUUCAAUUUGCACUUCGCACAGAAUAUCUAGAUGAAGAGAUGGAAAAGAAAAAAUAAACGUAAAGACACAAGUAAAUAAUAACACAAGAUAAAGCAAGUCAAGGGCCUCCUACCAGCUUAUCACUAAGCCAAUUUUUCUUGGGGCCCAAGUUAAUGUAAUAUCAGUAAAUCCAAAUUUGAAGGAAAAAAGGGACUUUUCAAUUGAUGUUGAGAAAAAUAAGCAUGCUUCAACUUUGCUUAGAAAAUAUUUCUGUCUCUUUGUGCCUCAACCAAUUUCAUGGCCCAAUUACUGAAUGAGCAUGUGCCUUUUCAGCUCUUGAAAGUGAGAAGCAAGAAGUGAGUUUGCUCAUUGAGAACUGACAGCCCAGAUUUAGGAAAUACUGGGUAUGAGUCUUUAUUAGCAAGAAUUCGUCAAAAAGGUUGAAUUCUUGUUUAAUGCUUUACAAUUCUUAACAUUUUCCAGAACACUGAUGCUGCUUGUGCUUGCUUACAUGUUCAUGUGAAACAGAUCCAUCUGGAGCCAUAACUGUCUCUUCAAUACAUCCUACUGUACUAAGAGAAUCCACCUGCCGAAUUAUAUCACGUAAACCAAGUUUACACUUCAAAAUCUGCUUCCUUGCUCGCAGUAGUUCCUUUUCUGGCCUGAUCUUCUCUCGACUGUGGCAGAAAUUCAGUAAAAGAUAAGAACAAACAUAGUUCUUUUAUCAUUUGAAGCUUCUAUCAAUUUCGAACUUCCAGUCAGCGGAGUUCUUUGUGUUUUGUUUUGUUUUGUAUCAUGCAUGUAGUAAAAUGGGAAUCAUUCAUUAGUUCCGAGAACAGAUCAGGUAAAAAAUUUCAAAAUUUUGAAGAAUAAAUGAUUGAAAAGGAAAAUUAAUCUAGAAGCAUAAGCAGAUAAAAAAAAUUAAACAAGGUUAAUGUAUCCAGAUUCCUUCGGCCGAACUUACAACGAAAAUGUCUUUGAGCCAAUCCUAAGUCCCAACUUCAGUAGGGAAAUAUUCCAUCUCAUGCAAUAUAUGAUCAGAACUUCCUUGAAAUAUUUCAGAUAGCUUCAAAUCUGGUAACAUGUUCAAAUAUAUGCUCCUAAUAAU